Molecule: ribosomal RNA, 497 nt
Filed under: uncultured bacterium
Lineage: Bacteria
Description: partial 16S ribosomal RNA
Rfam family: Bacterial small subunit ribosomal RNA
Source: RNAcentral
GAUGAACGCUGGCGGCGUGCCUAAUACAUGCCAGUCGAGCGAACGGACGAGAAGCUUGCUUCUCUGAUGUUAGUGGCGGACGGGUGAGUAACACGUGGAUAACCUACCUAUAAGACUGGGAUAACUUCGGGAAACCGGAGCUAAUACCGGAUAAUAUUUUGAACCGCAUGGUUCAAAAGUGAAAGACGGUCUUGCUGUCACUUAUAGAUGGAUCCGCGCUGCAUUAGCUAGUUGGUAAGGUAACGGCUUACCAAGGCAACGAUGCAUAGCCGACCUGGGAGGGUGAUCGGCCAAACUGGAACUGAGACGCGGUCCAGACUCCUACGGGAGGCAGCAGUAGGGAAUCUUCCGCAAUGGGCGAAAGCCUGACGGAGCAACGCCGCGUGAGUGAUGAAGGUCUUCGGAUCGUAAAACUCUGUUAUGAGGGAAGAACAUAUGUGUAAGUAACUGUGCACAUCUUGACGGUACCUAAUCAGAAAGCCACGGCUAACUACGUG